AGCAGCCGCGGUAAUUCCAGCUCCAAUAGCGUAUAUUAAAGUUGUUGCAGUUAAAAAGCUCGUAGUUGAAUUUCGGGAUCAAUACGUCGGUCGUGCUUCGGUACGUACUGGUGUCAUUGAUUUCUCCCUUCUGACAAACCAUGAUGUCAUUAACUUGGUGUCAUGGGAAAUCAGGACUGUUACUUUGAAAAAUUAGAGUGUUUAAAGCAGGCUCACGCUUGAAUACAUUAGCAUGGAAUAAUGAAAUAGGACGUUCGAUCCUAUUUUGUUGGUUUCUAGGAUCAACGUAAUGAUUAAUAGGGAUAGUUGGGGGCAUUAGUAUUCAAUUGUCAGAGGUGAAAUUCUUGGAUUUAUUGAAGACUAACUACUGCGAAAGCAUUUGCCAAGGAUGUUUUCAUUAAUCAAGAACGAAAGUUAGGGGAUCGAAGACGAUCAGAUACCGUCGUAGUC
Molecule: ribosomal RNA, 450 nt
Filed under: uncultured Glomus
Lineage: Eukaryota; Fungi; Glomeromycota; Glomeromycetes; Glomerales; Glomeraceae
Description: SSU rRNA
Rfam family: Eukaryotic small subunit ribosomal RNA
Source: RNAcentral